RNAcentral lists this ribosomal RNA (481 nucleotides) under uncultured bacterium. RNAcentral describes it as "partial 16S ribosomal RNA". It matches the Rfam family "Bacterial small subunit ribosomal RNA", at positions 28 to 507 of the family's 1533-position model. The record is from RNAcentral.
GAUGAACGCUGGCGGCGUGCUUAACACAUGCAAGUCGAACGAAGCAUUUAAGACAGAUUACUUCGGUUUGAAGUCUUUUAUGACUGAGUGGCGGACGGGUGAGUAACGCGUGGGUAACCUGCCUCAUACAGGGGGAUAGCAGCUGGAAACGGCUGGUAAUACCGCAUAAGCGCACAGUACCACAUGGUACAGUGUGAAAAACUCCGGUGGUAUGAGAUGGACCCGCGUCUGAUUAGCUUGUUGGCGGGGUAACGGCCCACCAAGGCGACGAUCAGUAGCCGAGCAGAGAGGGUGACCGGCCACAUUGGGACUGAGACACGGCCCAGACUCCUACGGGAGGCAGCAGUGGGGAAUAUUGCACAAUGGAGGAAACUCUGAGGCAGCGACGCCGCGUGAGUGAAGAAGUAGUUCGCUAUGUAAAGCUCUAUCAGCAGGGAAGACAGUGACGGUACCUGACUAAGAAGCUCCGGCUAAAUACGUG